AACGAACGCUGGCGGCAUGCCUAACACAUGCAAGUCGAACGACACACCCGGGCUUACUGGCGCACGGGUGCGUAAACGGGGGGAUAAUGCGUUUAUGAUCGGCAUCAAUCCCCGAGAGGAGCGCUAAUAACGCAGAAUAUUACCGGACCAAAGCUUUACCGCCUUUGGAGGGGACUGAGUUGGAUUAGCUGCUUGGUAGCGGAAACGGCUACCAAGGCGACGAUCCAUAGCUGGUCUGAGAGGAUGAUCAGACACACUGGGGCUGGGACACAGCCCGGACUCCUACGCGAGGCGGCAGUGGGGAAUAUUGGACAAUGGGCUGGAGCCUGAACCAGCAAGGCCGCGUGAGUGAUGAAGGCAUUAGGGUUGUAAAGCUGUUUUACACGGGAUGAUAUUGACAGUACCUGGAGAAUAAGCUCCGGCUAACUCCGUG
RNAcentral lists this ribosomal RNA (433 nucleotides) under uncultured bacterium. RNAcentral's name for it is "partial 16S ribosomal RNA". It matches the Rfam family "Bacterial small subunit ribosomal RNA", at positions 29 to 507 of the family's 1533-position model. The record is from RNAcentral.